GUUUCAAUUCCUCAUAGGCAGGCUAUCGGCGCGGCUACUAUGAGGUCACGCGGGAAACCGACCGCGG
RNAcentral lists this small RNA (67 nucleotides) under Acididesulfobacillus acetoxydans. RNAcentral describes it as "Peptococcaceae bacterium INE non-coding RNA". The record is from RNAcentral. Lineage: Bacteria; Bacillati; Bacillota; Clostridia; Eubacteriales; Peptococcaceae.